Molecule: small nucleolar RNA, 140 nt
Filed under: Echinops telfairi (small Madagascar hedgehog)
Lineage: Eukaryota; Metazoa; Chordata; Mammalia; Afrosoricida; Tenrecidae
Source: RNAcentral
GACCUCCCAGGACUGCAUCUGGAGAAUAGCUAGUAGUUCUGCCAGCUUCAGAGACGGGAGGGAAAACAAGCCUGUCAGAGACCCAUUUCCAUUCCCAGUUUGCUCAGUAGCUGGUGAUUGGAAAAGACUCUGCGACAGUG